GUAAUAUAAGAACCCGUCUCUUAACUUUUAACUAAAAAGGUUAAGAACCGGCUUUUAAAAUUCUUAUUUAAGAACAGAUUCUUGCUUUUUUAGUUAAAAGUUAAUAGACAGGUUCUUAUAUUCC
Molecule: microRNA precursor, 124 nt
Organism: Brassica oleracea var. oleracea
Lineage: Eukaryota; Viridiplantae; Streptophyta; Magnoliopsida; Brassicales; Brassicaceae
Rfam family: MIR9563 microRNA precursor family
Source: Rfam